Non-coding RNA from Macrostomum lignano, 70 nucleotides. NCBI's taxonomy places the organism in Eukaryota, Metazoa, Platyhelminthes, Macrostomidae. The record is from Rfam.
GGGUUUUUAGCCCAGUGGUUAGAGCAUCCGACCCACAAUUGGAAGGUCGGGGGUUCGAAUCUUCGACCCA